This 497-nucleotide ribosomal RNA is filed under the name uncultured bacterium. Its description in RNAcentral is "partial 16S ribosomal RNA". It matches the Rfam family "Bacterial small subunit ribosomal RNA", at positions 28 to 507 of the family's 1533-position model. The record is from RNAcentral.
GAUGAACGCUGGCGGCGUGCCUAAUACAUGCAAGUCGAGCGAACAGACGAGGAGCUUGCUCCUCUGACGUUAGCGGCGGACGGGUGAGUAACACGUGGAUAACCUACCUAUACGACUGGGAUAACUUCGGGAAACCGGAGCUAAUACCGGAUAAUAUAUUGAACCGCAUGGUUCAAUAGUGAAAGACGGUUUUGCUGUCACUUAUAGAUGGAUCCGCGCCGCAUUAGCUAGUUGGUACGUUAACGGCUUACCAAGGCAACGAUGCGUAGCCGACCUGAGAGGGGGAUCGGCCACAGUGGAACUGAGACACGGUCCAGACUCCUACGGGAGGCAGCAGUAGGGAAUCUUCCGCAAUGGGCGAAAGCCUGACGGAGCAACGCCGCGUGAGUGAUGAAGGUCUUCGGAUCGUAAAACUCUGUUAUUAGGGAAGAACAAAUGUGUAAGUAACUAUGCACGUCUUGACGGUACCUACUCAGAAAGCCACGGCUAACUACGUG